GUUCUUCAGGCCUGUCUCAGAGCUAUGGAGGAUGCAGCAAAAGGGAUGCCUUUGAUCUGCUGUCUCUGGAUGCACAAGGAGCUCAGAGAAACAACCAGGACACAGAACAAAACAAAGCAUGGAGCUCUAAUUUAGGGGUUUCAGCUAAGCGAGUCACUCAGCACCAGCACUGCACAGGAGGUAGUUCUUACAGCUUCCUUUAUGAGAAAGAUUUGUUCUUCUGUUUAUAGCGCACGCUCUGAUGUGGACUUCCAGCUCAGAACCCAGGUUCUCGAACUCAUGAACGCAUUCAGCAUCCCUUGCUAUCACAACCAGCUUGACAGAAAGACCACAGGCCAAGUGCAGCAGAGUUCCAGAAAGUGAAUGCAGCAAAAUACCCUUGCUCUCUUUGAGGGUAUCAGAGCCAGGAGGGUGGCUGACUCUGAUGAUAGAACAAGAGCCAAAUAUGCUCCUGAUGCUCCAGUAGAGUGGUCUUCAGGUGAUCGAGAUUCCGAGCUCCCAAACCAAGGCAAGAAUAAGGAAACUGGAACAGGAGGGCAUGCUGGGCUCCAGCCUCCCGUGACAGUGAAACAUUGCCUUAGAAUGACUGUUGUUAAUACAAUUGAGGAAAUAUAACACGUAAUCUUGUGAUUAAGUUAUACACAAUUUGAUUUAAAUUUAGUUCCUGGCAGUUGCUAGGUUUCACUCUGGCAUACUCUCUCAGUGUGGAAGCUGCUGAUUCAGAAAGAGAUGUUCCAAAGCUCAUGUAUUUCCUGGACACAUCCAAGUACUGAAUAAAAUGCUGGUUAAAUAAAUGAGUUAAUUUUCCAAGAAAGACA
This is a long non-coding RNA of Homo sapiens (human), 818 nucleotides long. Ensembl annotates it as GRIK1 antisense RNA 1. Its record names the gene GRIK1-AS1. The record is from Ensembl. Lineage: Eukaryota; Metazoa; Chordata; Mammalia; Primates; Hominidae.